This is a long non-coding RNA of Centruroides sculpturatus (bark scorpion), 765 nucleotides long. RefSeq lists it as uncharacterized. Lineage: Eukaryota; Metazoa; Arthropoda; Arachnida; Scorpiones; Buthidae. The transcript has 3 exons. The record is from RefSeq and is a predicted model, not a curated record.
UUUAUUUUACUUUAUUUUUUUCAAAAUUAUUUUUAUUUUACUUAUCGCACUUGUAUAUAACUUAACAAAGUUUGUUAUGUUUCAAUUACACGCUUUGAUUUAACAUAAUGAGAAUCGUAUUUUAUUCCUAAAUUUAGAAACUUUAAGGAAACUUACUGUAAAGAAGGAAUUAUAUCCGAUUAAAUUAGUGGAAAACAUAAAUUUAAAUUAGAAAAACAAAGUAAAAAAUUAAGCUAAUAAGUGCGCAUUCUUAGAAGUACGUAACUCAAAAGUGUGUAUUUAAAGUAAGGAGUGUAAUCUUAAACAAACAUCUGUAACAGACAUAAACAUAAACACAGGAUUUACUUCUCGAUCGUAAAUUAUAAAAGUAAAAUCAAAAAAUAAGAAGAAUAGAUUGGUUGCAUGCUCUUAAAAAUGUAGUAAAGAAGAUAAGCCAUUUAAAAUGUAAAAGAGUCCAUUUGAAAACAACGAGAAGAGUUCCAAUGCCCAAAAUCCUCCACUAAUCCUGAAUGUGAUAAAGAAGAAUAUGACGAAGGAUUUCCUUUAUUCUCUACGCCUUUUCAGGAAAUAAUGCUGAUUAACAUAUCCUGAAUACGUUUUAAACGAAACUUAAUUUGGAUUUAACAAUAUAAAUGCCAAAUAAGAUUUGUAAGAUGGAAGAUUUCGUCGAAAAUGAUGUAAUUUCUUCCGUUGAGUUAAUCAUUUAAUCAAAAUUUCUAAAACGGAUAUUGCUCGCUUAUAACAUUUUAAAUUAAUUCUAACUAA